UACGUAGGGGGCAAGCGUUGUCCGGAUUUAUUGGGCGUAAAGAGCGUGUAGGCGGCCAUGUAGGUCCGUUGUGAAAACUCGAGGCUCAACCUCGAGACGCCGAUGGAAACCAUGUGGCUAGAGUCCGGAAGAGGAGAGUGGAAUUCCUGGUGUAGCGGUGAAAUGCGCAGAUAUCAGGAAGAACACCCGUGGCUAAGGCGGUUCUCUGGGACGGUACUGACGCUGAGACGCGAAAGCGUGGGGAGCGAACAGG
This 253-nucleotide ribosomal RNA is filed under the name uncultured bacterium. RNAcentral's name for it is "partial 16S ribosomal RNA". It matches the Rfam family "Bacterial small subunit ribosomal RNA", at positions 524 to 776 of the family's 1533-position model. The record is from RNAcentral.